UGUGAAUUAAAGAGUUGAAAAUAGUUAAGUGUAUGUGUUUUGAAAAUGGUUAAGUAUAGUGAUCUGAAAUGUCAAUUAGCUAUUUGAAAAUGGUUUGAGUAUAGUGACUUGAAAUGUGAAUAAGUUAUUUGAAAAUUAUUAAGUGUAGUGACUUGAAAAUAAUUAAAUGUAGUUUCUUGAACUUGUAAACUUGUGACUUGAAAACGGUUAAGUGUAGUUACUUGAAAUUGUGAACUUGUGACUUGAAAAUGGUUAAGUGUAGUCACUUGAAAUGUGUACUAAUAACUUGAAAAUAAUAAAGUAUAGUUACUUGAAAAUGAUUAAGUAUAGUUACGUGAAAUUGAUUAAGUAUAGUGACUUGAAAUGUGAAUUAGUUAAUUUAAAAUAGUUAAGUUUAGUGAUUUGAAAUGUGUACUAGCGACUUGAAAAUGUUAUAAGUGUAGUGACUUGUGAUGUGAAUUAGUUAUUUGAAAAUGGUUAAGUGUAGUGACUUGAAGUGUUUAGUGGUGACUUUAAAAUAGUUAAGUGUAGUUACUUGAAAUGUGAAUUACUCACUUGAAAAUGGUUUAAGUGUAGUCAUUUGAAAUUGUGAACUUGUGACUUGAAAAUAAUUAAGUGUAGUUACUUGAAAUGUAUACUUGUGACUUUAAAAUGGUUUAAGUGUAGUGACUUGAAAAGUAUACUAGUGACUUUAAAAUGGUUAAGUACAGUCAUUUGAAAUUGUGACCUUGUGAACUUGUGACUUGAAGAUGAUUAAGUGUAGUUACUUGAAAUGUAUACUUGUGACUUUAAAAUGGUUAAGUGUAGUGGCUUGAAAUGUGUACUUGUGACUAGAAAAUGGUUAAGUGUAGUCACUUGAAAUGUAAACUAAGUUACUUGAAAUUAUGAACUUGUGACUUGAAAAUAAUUAAAUGUGGUGUCUUAAAAUGUAUAGUAGUGAUUUUAGAAUGAUUAAGUGUAGUUGUAACGCUUUGAAUCUGGUACCCAAAAUGCUACACGGUGCUCAUGACCCCGAAGGACCACAAGCUAACCCAUGUCUGAUAUCUGUAACUGGGCACUGCAUAAAAUACUAUAUAAAUGUGGAAAAAGGCUGAAAGGCCAUAGGUUCAAAUAUCUGAUAAAACAUAACAUCUGGAAAUACGGUAUAUCAAUACCAAAAUAAAACUGAAAUAAUUGUCUGAACAUACUAUAGUUUGGAAGACUCUAAAACUAACUGAAUAAGGAGUUGAUGGGGCAUGUCUCCAACUAACCCCAACUACUGAAAUAAACUAAGUACUAAAAGAAUGAAAUAAUCAAAUAAUAACAACCUUGAAUGAUGAAGACUCACUGCUAGUCUGACUGUUGAAACUGGAAUACUACUGAUGCUCUGGAGCUCGUGCUUCUGAACCUAUAGUAUAAAACAUCAUAGCGCAAAUGCGUCAGUACGAUUGAAUGUACUGGUAUGCAAGUGAGGUAGGCUGAAUGCAAGGGUUCAUAUGCAUGAACAAUACUGACUGACUAAGUAACAUGAACAUGAGAAUACAUGCAUGAAUAUAUGAAUGGUAACUGGGAUCAUGACAUCACUGAAUGUGAAUACUGAUAACAUUCAUUUUCGUAUAACUGAUAUACUAUUAUCUGAAUGAUUGUGUCUGACAGUCUUAUUUCUGUUGAAACUAGCUGAGUUCUGUACUGAACUGGAUGACUGUAUCUGACAGUCUUGAAUUCUAUAAAACUAUCUGAGUUUUAUUACUCAAACUGUAACUAUGGGAAGUAGUCAUCUAACCGACAUGCCCCAAAUGAUAUAAUAUAAUUGAGUUGGGGUCCAAUCUGUAACCCCAAUUGGAAGGGUGUCAAUAUCGCGCCACUGGUAAGGACAAGCUGUAAGUAAUCCCUCCUCUAAUAGGUACUUUAAGGAGAAUGGUGAGACCCUCAUAUAACAGGUUAAUCCACCUCAUCUAUCCUCAUCUAGCAGGUUUGAUGUCUCAACCUACACCAGCUAUGUAGCUCUGGAGCGCAAGGAUUGCUUUUAAGAAUCACACCCUCUACUCGUAGGUGAGUUCCCAUCCUUGGGCUCACUCGAUAUUGAAUCCUACUCCCAUCUGAUUAGACACUGAAUUAAUUAUACUAAACUGACUGAACUGAGAUAACUAAGUUCCGUUAACUGACAGAAUAUUACUGAGAUUUGAUAACUGACUGAGAUUACUGAGUUUUCCUGAGUCAUGAGACUGACUGAAUUCUACUGAACAUGGCUUGCCUAAGAGUAUCUUGAAAACUGACACUGGCUCUAGGUACACAACUAAAUUAUCGGGUACAAUACCCCCAGGACUCGAUAGCAUGAAACUAACAAGACAUGACACUUCUUGACAGAUAACCAUAGUCAACAAUUCAUAGUACAAUCAUUGAGGAUUUUCAUGAAGUAUUCGCAUGCUAUAAGCUUACACGUGAAUAGGAAUGCAUGUAAACAUAUCAUAAUUUUAUAAGCCUAAUCUCAUGAGCAUUACGUUAAUCUAUUACAAAGCAUAACAAUAACGUGGGAGUCAUAUCAAACAUAAGGGAGAAACAUGGAUUCAUCAAUUUUGGUCACAAAUGAGUCAUAAGGCAAAAUUCCUAUUCCCUUAGGCAUUUUAUCAAACACCUUGCAUGCAUAUCUUUAGGCUUAGGCAUGAAUAUUGAAAUAAUACUUCAUGGCAAUAUUUUACACUUCCAAUGCAAGAAUUUCAACAAAUACUAACAUAUUUUCAUGAUAGUCAUUAAAGACUUCAACUUGGAAAUCAAACAACAACAUAAACAUGGAUAUAAUUUAAUUCAUACCAUGGAAUCCAAAGUUUAUAUUUCAAAUAGGGUUUCUUGAGCUUCAUGGGUGAAAGGAACCCAUGAAUCAAUACUUGACAUAUCUGAGUGGAUGAUUUCUUUAAGAUUGGUGGAGAAAAACUUGAAUUCUUGCCUUAGGAUUAGACACCUAGGGUUUCUUGUUCUUGGGGAUUGAUCUUUGAGAGAAACCCUAAUUUGGUGUUAUGGAUGAAUAAAGAAGGUAUGAGCUUUGGUAUGGUAUAAUUAGGGGUUAAAACAGGUGAAAAAAGACCCAAAUAGCCUUUUAAAAAUGGCUUAAAAUUAUUGAUCGAAAGUGGCGACGAUUUGAGCGACGGUCUAUCGCUGGAUCGACGGUUCGUUGGUCCUGACCGUCGCACUUAGCCAGAACCUAAACUUUCUGCCUCGUCUGCGAUGGUUUGGGCGACGGUUCAUCGCUAGCUCGACGGUCCAUCGGUCCUGACCAUCGUACUUGAACAGAAGUCGGGUUCACUGCCUUAGUCGCGACAGCUUGGGCGAUGGUCCAUCGGCCUGACCGUCGCUUCUGGGCAGUUCCGACAGUUCUCUGUAAAAUAUCCAUAACUUUUUACUCUGAUACCGAAUUUGGACGAAAUUGGUAUCGUUGGAAAGCUAAUUAAAUUUUUCACAUGAUAAAAAGUUAAAAUUGGAGAAAUUCUAUCUAUUUUAAACAUUAACCAUUUAUAAAUUCAUCACUAACUCUUUUGAAGAUUAAAUUUAACUUAAAGAAAGUUUGGGGUAUUACAAUAUCUCUCCCUUUGGAACAUUCGUCCUCGAAUGGGACUGACUAGACUGGGAAAGCUAAUAAACUGAUCUUACUUAAGGGACGUGAACAUUUGAACAUGUCUAUAUGACUGGAACUUCUGAUAUACUGAAAUUUCAUACUGAAUAUGCAUAUCUGAUGCAUAGAUAUAUGACGGAUAGUCUUCAUGAAUGCAUGGCUGAAAUUACUGAUCAGCUGAGUUUCUCGUGAUAAGAAUGCAUAUCUGAUGCAUGAAUACGUGACUAACAUGAUACAUGAACAUAUAACUGGAUAUGCAAUGGUAUUUGAUACCAAGUUUAUAACUGAAAUCUGAACAUAAAAUUGAAUAAGCUUAAGGAAAGCUAUUACCUUGGGUUGAGUCUGAGUUUAUGGAGAAGAGGUAAGAAUACUUAGUUCGCAUGUCUGCUUUUGCUUCCCAAAUAGCUCCCUCAACAGACUAAAUUAACAUAUUCUUAUGCAAAAUGAGUUUGAAAGAAAGACACAAGAAAUACUAGUUGCUCAAAGUGCAUCAAUUGUGGAAUGGGGGUGAGAAAGGAAUUGGACUUAUUGAUGAAGCAUGUAUACAAGAAAUCAUCUUUAAAUGAUGAACGCCCAUCUCAAGAAAACAACCAAGCUUAUGAGGAUGAAAGUGAUGAUGACUUUGACGACGUGAAUGGAAGUGAUUCUAAUCCUGAUAACGUGGAUGGAAGUGAUUUUGACCCUGAUAGUUGGUAGUUUUAUUGAGGAUUUAAGUUUGAAAUAUUUUAUUUUGGACCAUUGAAGACUCAUACAUUAUUAAUGAAAAUGUUAUGAAUUUUUUUUUUUUUUGUUAGCUAUAAUGGUUUACAUUAGACUUGUAUUAAAUAAUAUUUUUGAGAAUUAUUGGAGGUUUUAAAUAAAUUUUUGACCAAUUAUGAAAUAUUUUUAGUAAUUUACGUGUGGAUUAUUACUUGAAAAUUUUCAUGGGGAUGUACAUGCUAAAUAUUCAUGAAAAUUUUCUUGAGAAAAUUUGUUCUUGCGGAUUUACUUGGGGCAUUUCAUAUGAAUUUUCGUGCGAAAUAGUUUCAUAAAUAUCUGCAAGAAUUUUUUUUUAUUAAUUAGGAAUUUUUACCUCUAAACUUCCUUUGAAUUUACUUGGAAAUCUUCUUGGGGAAUAAUUUGUGAAUUUUUUCAUAGAAAUUCGCAGGUAAAAUCCCUUUGUAUGAAUUUUUACCAAAUAAUCCAUGUAAACUGGAACUUCUGAUAUACUGAAAUUUCAUACUGAAUAUGCAUAUCUGAUGCAUAGAUAUAUGACGGAUAGUCUUCAUGAAUGCAUGGCUGAAAUUACUGAUCAGCUGAGUUUCUCGUGAUAAGAAUGCAUAUCUGAUGCAUGAAUACGUGACUAACAUGAUACAUGAACAUAUAACUGGAUAUGCAAUGGUAUUUGAUACCAAGUUUAUAACUGAAAUCUGAACAUAAAAUUGAAUAAGCUUAAGGAAAGCUAUUACCUUGGGUUGAGUCUGAGUUUAUGGAGAAGAGGUAAGAAUACUUAGUUCGCAUGUCUGCUUUUGCUUCCCAAAUAGCUCCCUCAACAGACUAAAUUAACAUAUUCUUAUGCAAAAUGAGUUUGAAAGAAAGACACAAGAAAUACUAGUUGCUCAAAGUGCAUCAAUUGUGGAAUGGGGGUGAGAAAGGAAUUGGACUUAUUGAUGAAGCAUGUAUACAAGAAAUCAUCUUUAAAUGAUGAACGCCCAUCUCAAGAAAACAACCAAGCUUAUGAGGAUGAAAGUGAUGAUGACUUUGACGACGUGAAUGGAAGUGAUUCUAAUCCUGAUAACGUGGAUGGAAGUGAUUUUGACCCUGAUAGUUGGUAGUUUUAUUGAGGAUUUAAGUUUGAAAUAUUUUAUUUUGGACCAUUGAAGACUCAUACAUUAUUAAUGAAAAUGUUAUGAAUUUUUUUUUUUUUUGUUAGCUAUAAUGGUUUACAUUAGACUUGUAUUAAAUAAUAUUUUUGAGAAUUAUUGGAGGUUUUAAAUAAAUUUUUGACCAAUUAUGAAAUAUUUUUAGUAAUUUACGUGUGGAUUAUUACUUGAAAAUUUUCAUGGGGAUGUACAUGCUAAAUAUUCAUGAAAAUUUUCUUGAGAAAAUUUGUUCUUGCGGAUUUACUUGGGGCAUUUCAUAUGAAUUUUCGUGCGAAAUAGUUUCAUAAAUAUCUGCAAGAAUUUUUUUUUAUUAAUUAGGAAUUUUUACCUCUAAACUUCCUUUGAAUUUACUUGGAAAUCUUCUUGGGGA
This 5818-nucleotide long non-coding RNA is filed under the name Capsicum annuum. RNAcentral describes it as "long non-coding RNA (CANN_LNC010236)". The record is from RNAcentral. Lineage: Eukaryota; Viridiplantae; Streptophyta; Magnoliopsida; Solanales; Solanaceae.